CAACGCGGGACACAGGCGACGGUUUAAUGACGCCGUUUCAGCUCCUCAGAUUUGAAUUCCUCAACCGCUCACCAUUCGCUGCUCUGGAGACUCGGGUGGAGAUAAAUCCCAUGUUUGACUGCCAUCUUUAGGGGAUCUGGAAAACUGUCCUUGAGGGAGCAUGCGUUUGUACAAUAUCGAGAGGUUUUAAAGAAAUAAACAUGAGCUAUUUGAUCAUUUAAGCAUAGGCCUACUGCUAAUGUCAAACCGCAACGUGUCACCUUUCUCAAAGUCAAACGCAUAUAAGGAUGAUGCCUUUUCCAUCUGUUGUUUAAGAAGAAAGCUUUUAUCUGGCGUUGACCACGAACUGAACUCUGUGAGUAAUGACUGAAAGAAAUGUGUUCCAUAAGCACAGAGGUGCCCAAACAAGACUUUCUGCCUCCCAUAAAGAGCAGCAUGGGUUGUGCUGUUGCAUGUUUCUGUCUUCUGUACGCUGUAGUCAAGCAGUUAUGCUUCUGCUUGAAAACUUUCACAAAGGGUCAUGUGUCCUCCCAGCACGUCAGCGGUAGCAGUGGCAAAUGCAAAUGUGGUCAGAUUCACUGGUCGUGUUUGAGAG
Molecule: long non-coding RNA, 595 nt
Organism: Triplophysa dalaica
Lineage: Eukaryota; Metazoa; Chordata; Actinopteri; Cypriniformes; Nemacheilidae
Exons: 3
Source: RefSeq, a predicted model, not a curated record